GACGAACGCUGGCGGCGUGCCUAAUACAUGCAAGUCGAGCGAACAGAUCUGGUGCUUCCUCUUCUGACGUUAGCGGCGGAUGGGUAAGGAACACGUGGAUAGUCUGUCUACAACACCGGGAUAACGUCGGAAAACCGGAGCUAAUACCGGAUAAUAUAUUGAACUGCAUGGUUCAAUAGUGAAAGACGAAUUUGCUGCCACUGAUAGAUGGAUCCGCGCCGCAUUAGCUAGUUGUUAAGGUAACGGCUUACCACGGCAACGAUGCGUAGCCGACCUGAGAGUGUGAUCGGCCACAGUGGAACUGAGACACGGUCCAGACUCCGACGGGUGGCAGCAGUAGGGAUGCUGCCGCAAUGGCAGAGGGCGUGACGCAGCAGCACCGCGUGAGUGAGGAAGAUCUUCGGAUCGUGAUUCUCUGUUAUUAGCGAACGCCAAAUAUGUAAGUAGUUGUGCACGUGGUGACGGUACCUAAUCAGAAAGCCACGGCUAACUACGUG
RNAcentral lists this ribosomal RNA (497 nucleotides) under uncultured bacterium. RNAcentral describes it as "partial 16S ribosomal RNA". It matches the Rfam family "Bacterial small subunit ribosomal RNA", at positions 28 to 507 of the family's 1533-position model. The record is from RNAcentral.